GACGAACGCUGGCGGCGUGCUUAACACAUGCAAGUCGAACGGAAAGGCCCUGCUUUUGUGGGGUGCUCGAGUGGCGAACGGGUGAGUAACACGUGAGUAACCUGCCCUUGACUUUGGGAUAACUUCAGGAAACUGGGGCUAAUACCGGAUAGGAGCUCCUGCUGCAUGGUGGGGGUUGGAAAGUUUCGGCGGUUGGGGAUGGACUCGCGGCUUAUCAGCUUGUUGGUGGGGUAGUGGCUUACCAAGGCUUUGACGGGUAGCCGGCCUGAGAGGGUGAACGGCCACAUUGGGGCUGAGAUACGGCCCAGACUCCUACGGGAGGCAGCAGUGGGGAAUAUUGCACAAUGGGCGGAAGCCUGAUGCAGCAACGCCGCGUGCGGGAUGACGGCCUUCGGGUUGUAAACCGCUUUCGCCUGUGACGAAGCGUGAGUGACGGUAAUGGGUAAAGAAGCACCGGCUAACUACGUGC
Molecule: ribosomal RNA, 469 nt
Filed under: uncultured bacterium
Lineage: Bacteria
Description: partial 16S ribosomal RNA
Rfam family: Bacterial small subunit ribosomal RNA
Source: RNAcentral